UGAGGAAUAUUGGUCAAUGGACGAGAGUCUGAACCAGCCAAGUAGCGUGCAGGAUGACGGCCCUAUGGGUUGUAAACUGCUUUUGUUUGGGAAUAAUCGACAUUACGUGUAAUGUUUUGCAUGUACCAUUCGAAUAAGGACCAGCUAAUUCCGUGCCAGCAGCCGCGGUAAUACGGAAGGUCCAGGCGUUAUCCGGAUUUAUUGGGUUUAAAGGGAGUGUAGGCGGUUGGUUAAGCGUGUUGUGAAAUGUAGAUGCUCAACAUCUGACUUGCAGCGCGAACUGGCUGACUUGAGUACACACAACGUAGGCGGAAUUCAUGGUGUAGCGGUGAAAUGCUUAGAUAUCAUGAAGAACUCCGAUUGCGAAGGCAGCUUACGGGAGUGUUACUGACGCUUAAGCUCGAAGGUGCGGUUAUCGAACAGG
Molecule: ribosomal RNA, 424 nt
Filed under: Verrucomicrobiota bacterium
Lineage: Bacteria; Pseudomonadati; Verrucomicrobiota
Description: Verrucomicrobia bacterium partial 16S ribosomal RNA
Rfam family: Bacterial small subunit ribosomal RNA
Source: RNAcentral